GCAAGACCUCGGCAUACUGCUCAGUAACACGUGGACAAUCUAAGCUAUGGAAGGGGAUAACCCCGGGAAACUGGGGAUAAUACCCUAUAGACUAUGAAUGCUGGAAUGCUUUGUAGUCCAAAGGGCAGCCGCCAUAGGAUGGGUCUGCGGCCGGUUAGGUUGUUGUUGGGGUAACGGCCCAACAAGCCUGUAAUCGGUUUGGGCUGUGGGAGCAAGAGCCCGGAGAUGGAUUCUGAGACAKGAAUCCAGGCCCUACGGGGCGCAGCAGGCGCGAAAACUUUACAAUGCGGGAAACCGUGAUAGGGGCACUCCSACUGCCCGUUAAAUCGGCCUGUCCAUCCGUUUAAAUCCUGGUGAAGAAAGGCCCGGRCAAGACCGG
This 379-nucleotide ribosomal RNA is filed under the name uncultured Methanomicrobiales archaeon. RNAcentral describes it as "bacterial SSU rRNA". It matches the Rfam family "Archaeal small subunit ribosomal RNA", at positions 70 to 455 of the family's 1478-position model. Lineage: Archaea; Methanobacteriati; Methanobacteriota; Methanomicrobia; Methanomicrobiales. The record is from RNAcentral.